AUUGAACGCUGGCGGCAGGCCUAACACAUGCAAGUCGAACGGUAGCACAGAGAGCUUGCUCUCGGGUGACGAGUGGCGGACGGGUGAGUAAUGUCUGGGAAACUGCCCGAUGGAGGGGGAUAACUACUGGAAACGGUAGCUAAUACCGCAUAACGUCGCAAGACCAAAGUGGGGGACCUUCGGGCCUCACACCAUCGGAUGUGCCCAGAUGGGAUUAGCUAGUAGGUGGGGUAAUGGCUCACCUAGGCGACGAUCCCUAGCUGGUCUGAGAGGAUGACCAGCCACACUGGAACUGAGAGACGGUCCAGACGCCUACGGGAGGCAGCAGUGGGGAAUAUUGCACAAUGGGCGCAAGCCUGAUGCAGCCAUGCCGCGUGUAUGAAGAAGGCCUUCGGGUUGUAAAGUACUUUCAGCGGGGAGGAAGGCGGUGAAGUUAAUAGCUUCACCGAUUGACGUUACCCGCAGAAGAAGCACCGGCUAACUCCGUGCCAGCCGCCGCCGUAA
This 504-nucleotide ribosomal RNA is filed under the name uncultured bacterium. RNAcentral's name for it is "partial 16S ribosomal RNA". It matches the Rfam family "Bacterial small subunit ribosomal RNA", at positions 29 to 523 of the family's 1533-position model. The record is from RNAcentral.